CUGUAAAGUAUGUUAUUCACUUUAAUAGUAUAAACCUCAUUCAGGUAGUAUUAAGCAACAACAAUACAAUGCCAACAUAUAAACAGCAUUUAAUAAAAUGCAUAAGCUAAGUCAUGCACUGCAAUACUCUAUAUACAAAAAAACAACAAUGCAGGUCUCUUCGUGACGAAGACAAUGAUUAGAUAUAAAAUUCAGAUAAAAAAAAAACAAACAAAAAAACAUGCCCUUUGCUAAAACAUCAUCACACAAAAAAAGGCUGGUAAAAGGAAGGAAGGCUUAAAAUGGACAUGACUUAAAUCAUAUGUUAAAAUAGAGUAGACGUUACUCCCUACUUAAUGCAAAAUACACAGCGCCUGUCCAUUUACAAGAAAAAAAAAGGUAAAAGAUUUACGGUAAGUUUUCAAAGUAAUACAACAACAUGUUAACAUGUUUACAUUUUUUAAUCUGUGCUGUACUGCACCAUUCAUUGGAAAACAGACACCUAUUCACCACACUUCCAUUACAGUGUAGUUUACAGUUGUACAUAGUUUUAUUAAUACAUUUGGUAGGUAACUGUGGAAAGUAUUGUGGAUGUAUUAGCAUAUGUAUAGUGCAGAAGGACAGACGUUAAUAAGAUACUGAAAAAGAUGAUUACAAACUAUCAUGAGUGGUACAAAUCAUGUAUAUAAGCAUUAGCGGCGUCCCCAGGUAAUUAUUACUCCAUCUCAUGUGUGCACUAUACACAGGUCUAUAUACCAUAAUGCACAUAGAUCUUCUGUUAGUAUACUGCACUGCAGAUAUAUUUUCUGCUAUAUACUGUACUGCCAAAACACCAUUCGCUAUACAUCAUAAUGAAGAUACAUGGUAUUUAAAUGAACAGAAUGGACCACACCAUGUAUUGAAAAAAUAAAAAAAAUCCAAUUUUUUUUUAACUAGAAAGUGGUGGUGCAAGUGACAAUAUGUGUGUAUAUAUAUCUAUAUAUAUAUAUAU
Pelobates cultripes (western spadefoot toad) is the source of this 970-nucleotide non-coding RNA. The record is from the annotation of a GenBank genome assembly. Lineage: Eukaryota; Metazoa; Chordata; Amphibia; Anura; Pelobatidae.